Acanthosepion pharaonis is the source of this 100-nucleotide non-coding RNA. NCBI's taxonomy places the organism in Eukaryota, Metazoa, Mollusca, Cephalopoda, Sepiida, Sepiidae. The record is from the annotation of a GenBank genome assembly.
CGUUGAAACACAGGUUUUCGUACGAUCAGAGAAGUUAAGCAACGUAGAGCCUGGUUAAAACAUUGAUGGGUGACCGCUAGAGAAUACCAGGUGCUGUAAG